RNAcentral lists this long non-coding RNA (1712 nucleotides) under Triticum aestivum (bread wheat). RNAcentral's name for it is "long non-coding RNA (TAES_LNC007607)". The record is from RNAcentral. Lineage: Eukaryota; Viridiplantae; Streptophyta; Magnoliopsida; Poales; Poaceae.
GAUUAAGUAAAAGGAAAAAUCUGCUUAAUUAAUUAACAACUUAUCUCACAAGGUUUUUGAUCAGGUAAGCACACCUACAACUCAUGUAUUGAUGUUAUAUUUCUUAUUACAACCCAUUUUAAAAGUUCAGAAGCUUCCGUGAGAACAAUUCAAGGACAUUCUUCAGUAGUACUCACCUUUAAGCUGCAGUUUUUCUAUUCCUGCGUAGAUAUUCACAUGGUGUACCCAGGAUCCUGCGAACAAUUUUAACUCCACCCUAAAGGUAAACAGAACUUGACAUGGUUUCCGUUGAGAAACCCUGCUACAUACAUUGUCAAAGUUUCAAUAGGCAAAUAUUAAAUUCUGAAAGAGGACUAAACUCCCACUAUUUCGACAAGAAUAUAUUUAUAUGAGACACAAUUUUCUGUAACAGAAUGUCAUAACUGAAAAUGGCUUAUUGUUUACUAUAAAAUAUGAGCCUGAACAACAUAAUUUAAUCCCUAGAGGAACACUACGGACCAUACCCUGUUCUGAACCACUGGUGUCGGUGUGGCGCACCACCGCAAACACCUCUCUUGUUGUGUUGUGCAUCACCUAAGGUACUACGCACCGGUUAGCGCCAUCUUGAUAUUCCCUAUUUUACAAAGAUGGACAUCACAUGGGAACAAAAUUCUACCAACUCCAUCAAGAAACGACCACAUUAAGAACUCGAGUUAUAGGAAGAAAUUUCAGCAUUAGUGAGAAGGAAAUGGACAAAAUAUUGUAUUACAGCUACAGAGCUACAAUAUUGCAUUACAGGUACGGAACUACAAUAUAUCUCCAAUAUAAAAAUUGGGUAAUUAAUUCCAUACCAGAUAACUAAUUAACGUGCAGUAAUUGUGUUGUACGCUUAUUGUGGACAUCAAAAUCUAGAUUAGUUACCCAUACAUGCACAAAAAAAACCUCCCAUACUAUGUUUAUCUGUUGAACCAUUUCAUCAGGGCAGUCUACUAACCUACACAUUCAGGAACUUCUAGCCAUAUCUAUUGUGUUCAUCGAUUCAGGCUGAUCUUCCUUUGCUUUGGUCUACUGUGUUGUUCCUUCUUUCCCGAAUAAAUACCAAUGUCAACGGUGGAUACACAAAUUUUGUGGAGAGACACCUUGGUGCUGCAAGAUGUGAAGAAACAGGCUGACCUUGCCGCUGCAUGUAUAGUGUUUAUCAUGGCUUUAAUUAACCCGCUGCCAUGAUCAAACCCAUUGCAUAUGUCUCAGUUGAACAACAAUACGCUACAGAAGAGUACUCAUGUAUUCUCCACAUAAUCUAAAAACCAUACGAUCUUCACUUAAACCGCUUUCUGAACAAAACUACUGUCAUAACAAAAGUCAUGACGGUGAACGGUAAGCAGCAGCAGCACGAACACACAGGGCGGCCAGCCACAGAACAACAUCAUCAGUACGGGCCGGCCACAAGCACACGGGGCCGACGGCGGGUAAUAGCAGCACCUGCAACAUGACGGGGCGGCGGCGUCUCGCUGGUAACCCUAACCCUAGCUCGCCGGCCCAGGCAAAUUGGGUGAGCCAGAGAAAGAGGAUUGACCUAGCAGUCGCCUCCGCCAAGGACCACGGGGAAUCGCUGGGAGGAGCCGCCCUCGUCUUCCGUCGAGCACCAGCAGAGACAUAGGGGCGGUGGGUUUCGACUUUUGAUCCAGGUGGAUGGGCGAAGAGGAGAACGAGAGGGAUCUGUAGAGAGGCAC